GGUUUAGUAGUGUAGAGGUUAUCACACGGGAUUUUGACCAAAAACAUUACUUCCCGUAACCUAGGUUCGAGUCCUGGCUAGACCU
Rhodocollybia butyracea is the source of this 85-nucleotide non-coding RNA. The record is from the annotation of a GenBank genome assembly. NCBI's taxonomy places the organism in Eukaryota, Fungi, Basidiomycota, Agaricomycetes, Agaricales, Omphalotaceae.